CACGUAGGCACCAAGCGUUGUCCGGAUUUAUUGGGCGUAAAGAGCUCGUAGGCUGUUCGGUAAGUCGGGUGUGAAAACUUUGGGCUCAACCCAAAGCGUGCACUCGAUACUGCCAUGACUAGAGUUCGGUAGGGGAGUGGGGAAUUCCUAGUGUAGCGGUGAAAUGCGCAGAUAUUAGGAGGAACACCGGUGGCGAAGGCGCCACUCUGGGCCGAAACUGACGCUGAGGAGCGAAAGCGUGGGUAGCAAACAGG
This 254-nucleotide ribosomal RNA is filed under the name uncultured bacterium. RNAcentral's name for it is "partial 16S ribosomal RNA". It matches the Rfam family "Bacterial small subunit ribosomal RNA", at positions 524 to 776 of the family's 1533-position model. The record is from RNAcentral.